AGUUGUUGUUGACUAGCUUUGCAGGCAGGCUCCCUGCACUUCUGUGCGGCCAACUGUCAUGGGGCUGUCUUUUCAUUGUCCAUUUGCCUAGUAAUUUGCUAGUUAUGGAUGAUUUCCAUCGGUCGCCUGUAUGGUUCUACUCUUUUGGGUAGUGCAUGAUUGUUUUGUUGAUGCUUAUUUAGCCUGCUCUGUUAAUGUUAUUGUUGACAGGACGGCCGAGAUGUCAGCGAAUUUCAAGUGCUUCCAUGUGCGUAGCCAUGGUAAUGCACUUGGAUGUUCGCUGGGUCUCAUGGAUGCGGUCCCUAUUGUGAGCUCUACGGGCUUCUUGCCCGCAGAACCUGUGAGGUUGCCCCUGCGGAGACCAUUGCUCUAUUGCUUCACCGACACAUCAUCGGUUUAAUCGCCAUGUUGUAGUUGUUGCGAUUUGGGUGUUGUUCUUUGCCUCUGUGGCGUGCCUCUUAGAACAAAUGACUUACGAAGCUGGUUUUGCGUUGUCGCAAGGCUCCUCCCAAUUGGGCGGUGGCUGGAGACCUCGUUCCUGCUCUCGUUUAUGAUGUGCUACCUGGUUGAUCCUGCCC
This 578-nucleotide unclassified non-coding RNA is filed under the name Ficinia cedarbergensis. RNAcentral's name for it is "partial external transcribed spacer 1f". The record is from RNAcentral. Lineage: Eukaryota; Viridiplantae; Streptophyta; Magnoliopsida; Poales; Cyperaceae.